AAUUUGCGUGAAAAAAGUGUCCGCCCUUCAGCGCUUCUGGUAUUUGUUCCUGUUCACAAAGGUUGUCCCAGGCGAAUACCUCACAGGAAAUGGCAAGCGGAUAUUAUUAAAAAAGAGUGUCCGCCCUUCACCGAAAUUGUUCCAGACGAAUACCUCGCAGGAAAGUAAAGCUCGAUUUUAAUCUCUGCGCUCCUGAUACACUAAUUAAUUGUAACCAUUCCCUUCUAAUGUCAAGAAAAUAUAUGAAAAAACAAUUUCCGCUCUUCAGCACUUCUGGUUCUUUUCUACCGAAAUUGUACCAGGCGAAUGCCUCAUAGGAAAUGUGAAGCAUUUAUGAGAACACCCUGUCCGCCUUUUUGCGCUCCAGAGACAAUUUGGUUCUUUUUCGCCGAAAUCGUACCAGGCAGGAAGCGUUAAGAGAUAUAUGAAAGAGUGUGCGCCCUAUAGCGCUCCUGAUACAAUUAGUUAUUUUCCACCGAGGUUUUGUCAGACAGAGGCAAAUAUUGACAAGAGAUGUCAAGAAAACAGUGUGCGCCCUUCUACGCUUCUGAUGCCAUUGGUUAUCUUUCACCGAAAUUGUGCCAAACAGAGAAAUAUUCACAGAGAAUCUCAAGAAUAUGUGAAAACAUAGUGUCCAUGCUCUUGAUACAAUUAGUUCUUUUUCACCGAAAUUGAACCACACGAUUAUUAUUAUGCUAAUAAUACCUCACAGAAAAGUAAUAAUCGAUUUUAAUUUCUGCACUCCUGAUACACUUCGCUUUUGGUGUCCCAUGAAUUUACAAGAAUACUGUGUCCUCCUGCGCGUUUGAUACCAUCAGUUCAUACAACCGAAAUUGUACCUGGGUAAUACCUCACAAAAUUGAUAUUAAUAUCUGCGCUCCUGAUAUAACGGAAUUAAUUUUAGACAAAGCAAGCAAUACCUAAUUUUACUUAUUUGUGACUAGCAAUAAUUAGGAAAGUACAAAUUCCACGUACAAACAUUGUAAAUGAUUGCACAACCCAGAUUAAGUGUUUACCUAAGAUAAAGGUAGCCUUAAUUGAAGGAAAUUUUGCACAACGUAUUUUAAUACUUUUCAAGGUUUCAAUGGGGGCUCCUAAUUUUCAAUUUAUGUCAGAUCCGUAUAAGACCAUAAAAUUCUUCGGAUUCUUACCGUUCGUUGAAUUCAUCAAAUUUCUUCAAAUUCUUCUAAUUCAUGGGAUUUUGGAGGUCACUUGGAUCCUUAACUUAUUCAAGGUCCUUUCUUUAAUUGUUGUUUUUGCAUUCUUCAUAUGCUAUUUUUCAAACCCUCCGGAUUCUUCAAAACCAUAAAGAAUCUUGAAAUCUUCCGAUCUUCAAAUUGCUUUAAUGUAAUCUCUGCGCUCCUGAUACAAUUCCUUUCCCGCGUCGAGAAUAUCUCCAAAAAACCAGCGUCAGCCCUUCAGCGCUCCUGAUACGAGUACAAUCAGUUCUCUUUCACCGCAAUUGUACCAUGAGAGUAUUACGUAGAAAAGUAUUUGCUAAUUGAUUAUAAUCUCUGCUCUCCACAUACAAUUCCUUUUUAGUGCUGGAAGAAUUUGCGAGAAAACUCGCUCCUGAUAACAGUAGAUCUUUUAAUCGCAAUUGUAACAGACUAGUACCUCACAAGAAAGCAAUAAUCGAUUUUAGUUUCUGUGCUCCUGAUACACUUUUCUAAUUUCUAGUACAAUAUGCGAGAAGUCUGUGUGAGCACUCCUACGCAUCUGACACCAUUAGUUCAAUUCAACCGAAAUUGUACCAGGUGAAUAAAUCCCAGGAAAGUAAUUGCUAAUUGAUUUUAGUUUCUGCGCUCUUCAUACAAUUCCUUUCUAGUGCUAGAAGAAUUUGUGAGAAAACGCGCUCCUGAUAACAGUAGAUUUUUUAUUCGCAAUUGUAACAGGCCAGUAUCGCACAAGAGAGCAAUAAUCGAUUUUAAUUUCUGUGCUCCUGAUACACUUCGUUUCUAGUAUCCGAAGAAUAUGCGAGAAAACUGUGAGCACUCCUACGCACCUGAUAUCAUUAGUUGAAUUCAACCGAAAUUUUACCAGGUGAAUAACUCCCAGGAAAAUUGGUUUUAGUUUCUGCGCUCUUCAUACAAUUCCUUUCUAGUGCUAGAAGAAUUGGCCAUAUAACUAUAAAUUCACAGGAAAGUAGUUUUCUAAUUGACUUUAAUUUCUGGACUCCCGAUAUAAUUAAUUUCUACAGUGUGAAAUUGUCCCAGACUAAUAUUACUUCACAGGCUGAUUUUCAUUUCUACGCUCCUGGUACAAUUCCUGUCUAAUGCCAGGAGAAUAUACGAAAAAGAGUGUCCGCUCUUCAGCGCUCCCCAGACAAUUUAUUCUUUUUUACCGCAAUUGUACCAAACUAAUACCCCUCAGGAAAGACUAAUCGAUUUUAAUUCCUGCGCUUC
Long non-coding RNA from Photinus pyralis (common eastern firefly), 2405 nucleotides. RefSeq lists it as uncharacterized. NCBI's taxonomy places the organism in Eukaryota, Metazoa, Arthropoda, Insecta, Coleoptera, Lampyridae. The transcript has 6 exons. The record is from RefSeq and is a predicted model, not a curated record.